Molecule: ribosomal RNA, 450 nt
Filed under: uncultured Gammaproteobacteria bacterium
Lineage: Bacteria; Pseudomonadati; Pseudomonadota; Gammaproteobacteria
Description: bacterial SSU rRNA
Rfam family: Bacterial small subunit ribosomal RNA
Source: RNAcentral
GGCCUAACACAUGCAAGUCGAGCGGUAGAGAGAAGCUUGCUUCUCUUGAGAGCGGCGGACGGGUGAGUAAUGCCUAGGAAUCUGCCUGGUAGUGGGGGAUAACGUUCGGAAACGGACGCUAAUACCGCAUACGUCCUACGGGAGAAAGCAGGGGACCUUCGGGCCUUGCGCUAUCAGAUGAGCCUAGGUCGGAUUAGCUAGUUGGUGAGGUAAUGGCUCACCAAGGCGACGAUCCGUAACUGGUCUGAGAGGAUGAUCAGUCACACUGGAACUGAGACACGGUCCAGACUCCUACGGGAGGCAGCAGUGGGGAAUAUUGCACAAUGGGCGCAAGCCUGAUGCAGCCAUGCCGCGUGUGUGAAGAAGGCCUUCGGGUUGUAAAGCACUUUCAGCGAGGAGGAAGGGUUCGGUGUUAAUAGCACUGUUCAUUGACGUUACUCGCAGAAGAAG